Molecule: long non-coding RNA, 982 nt
Filed under: Coturnix japonica (Japanese quail)
Lineage: Eukaryota; Metazoa; Chordata; Aves; Galliformes; Phasianidae
Description: lncRNA (ENSCJPG00005021481.1)
Source: RNAcentral
AGUCUGUGUUAUUAGUGAUGAAAUAUAGAAUCAAAUCAUGUGAUUUCACUCAAGAGAAGCUUACUCAGGGGACAGGAGACAGCAAGUGAAAAGUGCUUGCUAAAAUGAUAUCUGCAUUCUUCAUGCUUGUUUUCUCUUUCUUCAACAAGUAAGUAGCAUGAAUCCAGACAGAAAAACCAAUGAGAGAAGAGACAGAUGGUAUUUUUAGCACUAAUAACAGGAUUUUCUAUAAAAUGCCACUUGUAGCAUGAAUCAUAAACUCGUUACAUAUAUCAACUAUAUCAAUUUUCUCAGGGAAAAGUAAAGAAAUCCUGUGUUUAAUAUAGGAGUUUUAAUCUAAAAAACGAUUACAUGCAGAUUUAUUUAUGAGAGAAGUAAAUAUUCCCCUGCAUCUUUAUAGCCCCAUCCAUAUGGUGCAAAGAAAUUUUCAGUGUUUCUAAUCUGUUCUGUGAGAGACCAAUAUGAAAGCAGAGGGGAAUUUUUCCAGAGAUAAAUACAUAUCUGUUUUAAAAGCUCUCUGCAGCUUCUGAACAUCAUCAGGUUUUAUAUGAAGUUUACUGAAACAUAUCUGGGAUCAUGCAACUUGGAAUCGAAUUCUGUGUGGAUCUCCCUCACACGUUUUCUACAGUGGAGGGGGAGAUGGAUCCUAAGCAUAUUUUCCUUCUUCUGCAUGAAAAUGAAUGCAUCCAAGACCAGCUGACAUAUUGAUCUGAAUUUACAGAGCUCUAGUCAUCCUUCAGCUUCUCCAGCAUUCUGGAUACAGGAGAAAUGGCUGAACAGAAGAGAAAUGAAAUGGCUGCACAGAAGAGAGAGCGAACUAAGGCAUUUUCCUUAUGGUUUCUUGAUAAGAAGUAUUAGCUUCUGCAAAUAACAAGGUGUAUAAAAGAGAAUUAGAAUAAUAUCCCAGAGCUUGAAAACUGAAGCUCAUUCAACAUUUUCUGGCCACUCUCAGGGACAGGAAUAAAAUGAAAGUCACUGUACA